GGCCUCCGAAUAACUUCAUCCUCAUGAUGAUGUCAGCCUUCUCGUGAUGAUGUUCGGCCUCCUCAUGAUGUCGGCCUUCGGAUGACUUCGUGAGGUUGGCCUCCUCGUGAGAUCGACCUCCGGAUAUCUUCGUGAGGUUGGUCUCUUUGUGAGAUCGGUCUUUUGAUGAAGUUGGUCUCUAGAUGACUUUAUGAGAUUGGCUAAAUAAUGAGAAUCUAUCCCAAUAAAUAUAUAUAGCCAUGGCUUGUUCCAC
Molecule: long non-coding RNA, 253 nt
Filed under: Elaeis guineensis (African oil palm)
Lineage: Eukaryota; Viridiplantae; Streptophyta; Magnoliopsida; Arecales; Arecaceae
Description: long non-coding RNA (EGUI_LNC010877)
Source: RNAcentral